UUUGGCAUUAGGAAAGUCCGAGCACAGCAGGGCAGGGUGCAAGAUAACAUCUUGUGAAGGCGACUUCAAGGAUAGUGCAACAGAAACAAACCGCCACUUAAUUGUCUAUUUUUGUGUUUUUAUAAUUUUAUAAUUAUAUCUUACCUCCUAUUUUUUCACAAAAUUUUAAAGUGGUAAGGGUGGAAAGGUGGAAUAAGUGCCCACCGGCAUCUGCGAGAGUAGAUGUGCUAUGUAAACCCCACCUUGUGCAAGAUAAGGGAGAUUAUACGGGUUGCCCGCCCGUUCCCGAUAUACAUCGCUUGAACGCAUUGGCGACAGUGCGUCUAGAUAGAUGACCAUCCUAGACAAAACUCGGCUUACAGACUA
Molecule: RNase P RNA, 366 nt
Filed under: bovine gut metagenome
Description: Bacterial RNase P class A
Rfam family: Bacterial RNase P class A
About the family: Ribonuclease P (RNase P) is a ubiquitous endoribonuclease, found in archaea, bacteria and eukarya as well as chloroplasts and mitochondria.
Source: RNAcentral